GACGAACGCUGGCGGCGUGCUUAACACAUGCAAGUCGAACGGAAAGGCCCUGCUUUUGUGGGGUGCUCGAGUGGCGAACGGGUGAGUAACACGUGAGUAACCUGCCCUAGACUUUGGGAUAACUUCAGGAAACUGGGGCUAAUAUCGGAUAGGAGCUCAUGCUGCAUGGAGGGGGGUGGAAAGUUGCGGCGGGCGGGGAUGGACGAGCGGCUUAUCAGCUAGUUGGUGGGGUAGUGGCUGACCAAGGCUUUGACGGGUAGCCGGCCUGAGAGGGUGGACGGCCACCUUGGGCCUGCGAUACGGCCCAGACUCCUACGGGAGGCAGCAGUGGGGAAUAUUGCACAAUGGGCGGAAGCCUGAUGCAGCAACGCCGCGUGCGGGAUGACGGCCUUCGGGUUGUAAACCGCUUUCGCCUGUGACGAAGCGUGAGUGACGGUAAUGGGUAAAGAAGCACCGGCUAACUACGUG
Molecule: ribosomal RNA, 468 nt
Filed under: uncultured bacterium
Lineage: Bacteria
Description: partial 16S ribosomal RNA
Rfam family: Bacterial small subunit ribosomal RNA
Source: RNAcentral